GCUUACGGCCAUACCACCCUGAGAACGCCCGAUCUCGUCUGAUCUCGGAAGCUAAGCAGGAUCGGGCCUGGUUAGUACUUGGAUGGGAGACCGCCUGGGAAUACCAGGUGCUGUAAGCUUUU
This 122-nucleotide ribosomal RNA is filed under the name Astyanax mexicanus (Mexican tetra). The record is from RNAcentral. Lineage: Eukaryota; Metazoa; Chordata; Actinopteri; Characiformes; Acestrorhamphidae.